GCCUUCCUAGCUCAACUGGCUAGAGCAUCUGCCUUGUAAGCAGAGGGUUCAGGGUUCGAGUCCCUGGGUAGGCU
Molecule: transfer RNA, 74 nt
Filed under: Butyrivibrio sp. ob235
Lineage: Bacteria; Bacillati; Bacillota; Clostridia; Lachnospirales; Lachnospiraceae
Rfam family: tRNA
About the family: Transfer RNA (tRNA) molecules are approximately 80 nucleotides in length. Their secondary structure includes four short double-helical elements and three loops (D, anti-codon, and T loops).
Source: Rfam by way of RNAcentral